UCCUACGGGAGGCAGCAGUGAGGAAUAUUGGUCAAUGGGCGCAAGCCUGAACCAGCCAGUCGCGUGCAGGAAGACUGCCCUAUGGGUUGUAAACUGCUUUUAUAGUAGAAGAAACACAUCUACGUGUAGAUGUCUGCCAGUAUACUAUGAAUAAGCAUCGGCUAACUCCGUGCCAGCAGCCGCGGUAAUACGGAGGAUGCAAGCGUUAUCCGGAUUUAUUGGGUUUAAAGGGUGCGUAGGCGGGACUGUAAGUCAGGGGUGAAAUACUGCAGCUUAACUGUAGCAUUGCCUUUGAAACUGCCGUUCUUGAGUACAGUUGAGGUAGGCGGAAUGUGGUGUGUAGCGGUGAAAUGCAUAGAUAUACCACAGAACGCCGAUUGCGAAGGCAGCUUACUAAGCUGUUACUGACGCUGAGGCACGAAAGCGUGGGGAUCAAACAGGAUUAGAUACCCUGGUAGUCCACGCUGUAAACGAUGAUUACUGGUUGUUAGCGAUAUAUAGNUAGUGAC
Molecule: ribosomal RNA, 509 nt
Filed under: uncultured bacterium
Lineage: Bacteria
Description: bacterial SSU rRNA
Rfam family: Bacterial small subunit ribosomal RNA
Source: RNAcentral